This 270-nucleotide ribosomal RNA is filed under the name uncultured bacterium. RNAcentral's name for it is "partial 16S ribosomal RNA". It matches the Rfam family "Bacterial small subunit ribosomal RNA", at positions 88 to 354 of the family's 1533-position model. The record is from RNAcentral.
CCGGCGACCGGCGCACGGGUGAGUAACACGUAUGCAACCUGGCCGUGACAGAUGGAUAACCGGGAGAAAUCCCGCCUAAUACAACAUAAUGCCGGGAGGGGACAUCCCCUGCCGGCCAAAGGGGGCGACCCCGGUCACGGAUGGGCAUGCGGCGCAUUAGGUAGUUGGUGAGGCAACGGCCCACCAAGCCGACGAUGCGUAGGGGUUCUGAGAGGAAGGUCCCCCACAUUGGAACUGAGACACGGUCCAAACUCCUACGGAAGGCAGCAG